This 388-nucleotide transfer-messenger RNA is filed under the name Bacteroidales bacterium. It matches the Rfam family "transfer-messenger RNA". Rfam says of the family: Bacterial tmRNA, also known as 10Sa RNA or SsrA, is named for its dual tRNA and mRNA-like properties. Its role is to liberate the mRNA from a stalled ribosome. The record is from RNAcentral. Lineage: Bacteria; Pseudomonadati; Bacteroidota; Bacteroidia; Bacteroidales.
GGGGUCGUUUGGUUUUGACAGCAUGUAUGUGGAUUUGUAAGCAUGUCGGAGGUUGUGAGACGGUUCCGUUAAAAACUAACUCUCUUAGCCAAUAAAAGGCAACUCUUAUGCAAUCGCUGCUUAACCGCUGCGGUUCCCGAAGCAUAAACCAGGUUUAUUGCCUCGGGUGUUUCCCCGGAAGCCCUGCUUUUCGGCGUCCGGUACGAAGCAUCGUAAAUGAAAAGAUAGCCGAUGCACGCUUCAUUGCAAAGGCGAAAUUUUAGAAGAUACGCAAGGGCGCAGCCUGCCGAGUACUUUUCCCUUGCCGACAAAUAAACUCAGGCUAAGCAUGUAGAAAGCAUCUUUGCAACACGUUUGGACGCGGGUUCGAAUCCCGCCGGCUCCACUA